This 406-nucleotide ribosomal RNA is filed under the name uncultured Acidobacteriota bacterium. RNAcentral describes it as "bacterial SSU rRNA". It matches the Rfam family "Bacterial small subunit ribosomal RNA", at positions 400 to 823 of the family's 1533-position model. The record is from RNAcentral. Lineage: Bacteria; Pseudomonadati; Acidobacteriota.
CGUGAGCGAUGAAGGCCUUCGGGUUGUAAAGCUCUUUCGGCAGGGAAGAUAAUGACGGUACCUGUAGAAGAAGCUCCGGCUAACUACGUGCCAGCAGCCCCGGUAAUACGUAGGGGGCAAGCGUUGUUCGGAAUUACUGGGCGUAAAGGGUGCGUAGGCGGUUUUUUAAGUUUGGUGUGAAAUCUCCCGGCUCAACCGGGAGGGUGCGCCGAAAACUGGGGGGCUAGAGUGUGGGAGAGGAAAGUGGAAUUCCUGGUGUAGCGGUGAAAUGCGUAGAUAUCAGGAGGAACACCUGUGGUGUAAACGGCUUUCUGGACCAUUACUGACGCUGAGGCACGAAAGCGUGGGUAGCAAACAGGAUUAGAUACCCUGGUAGUCCACGCCCUAAACGAUGCAUAUUUGGUGU